UACGGAGGAUGCGAGCGUUAUCCGGAUUUAUUGGGUUUAAAGGGUGCGUAGGCGGACGCUUAAGUCAGCGGUAAAAUUGCGGGGCUCAACCUCGUCGAGCCGUUGAAACUGGGUGCCUUGAGUGGGCGAGAAGUACGCGGAAUGCGUGGUGUAGCGGUGAAAUGCAUAGGUAUCACGCAGAACUCCGAUUGCGAAGGCAGCGUACCGGCGCCCAACUGACGCUGAAGCACGAAGGCGUGGGUAUCGAACAGG
Molecule: ribosomal RNA, 252 nt
Filed under: uncultured bacterium
Lineage: Bacteria
Description: partial 16S ribosomal RNA
Rfam family: Bacterial small subunit ribosomal RNA
Source: RNAcentral